GAUGAACGCUGGCGGCGUGCCUAAUACAUGCAAGUCGAGCGAACGGACGAGAAGCUUGCUUCUCUGAUGUUAGCGGCGGACGGGUGAGUAACACGUGGAUAACCUACCUAUAAGACUGGGAUAACUUCGGGAAACCGGAGCUAAUACCGGAUAAUAUUUUGAACCGCAUGGUUCAAAAGUGAAAGACGGUCUUGCUGUCACUUAUAGAUGGAUCCGCGCUGCAUUAGCUAGUUGGUAAGGUAACGGCCUACCAAGGCAACGAUGCAUAGCCGACCUGAGAGGGUGAUCGGCCACACUGGAACUGAGACACGGUCCAGACUCCUACGGGAGGCAGCAGUAGGGAAUCUUCCGCAAUGGGCGAAAGCCUGGCGGAGCAACGCCGCGUGAGUGAUGAAGGUCUUCGGAUCGUAAAACUCUGUUAUUAGGGAAGAACAUAUGUGUAAGUAACUGUGCACAUCUUGACGGUACCUAAUCAGAGAGCCACGGCUAACUACGUGCCAGCAGCCGCGGUAAUACGUAGGUGGCAAGCGUUAUCUGGAAUUAUUGGGCGUAAAGCGCGCGUAGGCGGUUUUUUAAGUCUGAUGUGAAAGCCCACGGCUCAACCGUGGAGGGUCAUUGGAAACUGGAAAACUUGAGUGCAGAAGAGGAAAGUGGAAUUCCAUGUGUAGCGGUGAAAUGCGCAGAGAUAUGGAGGAACACCAGUGGCGAAGGCGACUUUCUGGUCUGUAACUGACGCUGAUGUGCGAAAGCGUGGGGAUCAAACAGGAUUAGAUACCCUGGUAGUCCACGCCGUAAACGAUGAGUGCUAAGUGUUAGGGGGUUUCCGCCCCUUAGUGCUGCAGCUAACGCAUUAAGCACUCCGCCUGGGGAGUACGACCGCAAGGUUGAAACUCAAAGGAAUUGACGGGGACCCGCACAAGCGGUGGAGCAUGUGGUUUAAUUCGAAGCAACGCGAAGAACCUUACCAAAUCUUGACAUCCUUUGACAACUCUAGAGAUAGAGCCUUCCCCUUCGGGGGACAAAGUGACAGGUGGUGCAUGGUUGUCGUCAGCUCGUGUCGUGAGAUGUUGGGUUAAGUCCCGCAACGAGCGCAACCCUUAAGCUUAGUUGCCAUCAUUAAGUUGGGCACUCUAAGUUGACUGCCGGUGACAAACCGGAGGAAGGUGGGGAUGACGUCAAAUCAUCAUGCCCCUUAUGAUUUGGGCUACACACGUGCUACAAUGGACAAUACAAAGGGCAGCGAAACCGCGAGGUCAAGCAAAUCCCAUAAAGUUGUUCUCAGUUCGGAUUGUAGUCUGCAACUCGACUACAUGAAGCUGGAAUCGCUAGUAAUCGUAGAUCAGCAUGCUACGGUGAAUACGUUCCCGGGUCU
RNAcentral lists this ribosomal RNA (1372 nucleotides) under uncultured bacterium. Its description in RNAcentral is "bacterial SSU rRNA". It matches the Rfam family "Bacterial small subunit ribosomal RNA", at positions 28 to 1381 of the family's 1533-position model. The record is from RNAcentral.